AUUUAUUUUAUAUUGAAAGCUGAGGACAGUAAGAUUCGACUCUGGUUUAAGAAUAUUUAUAUCUCCUUCUGAAUCUGCUAAUACCUACUUCCCGUUCACUGAUACUUUGAGUUACCAGUCGGGUAUCCUUAGCACGACAAUGCAUGUAUACUUGUAACGUAUCUACUGCUAUAUGUAUUCUUCAUUAGUUACAUGCCAUCAUCUACAAUAAGUCGGGCUGAAAAGGGUACAUGUAUUGUUGAUUAUUAAUACGUAAAUAUAUAGAAUGCUCUAGAAUGAUUGGAGAUUUAUUUGUGCUUUCAGAUUUAGUUACCAAACAUUGAAGCUAAUUGAGAACAUUAUGUUGGCUGCAAUUGUUUUUAAGUUAUUUGUCACUAUUUGGUAUAUAUGUUAAAAAAUAUUACAGUAGCAACCAUUUGUGUAUGAUGAAUAGUAUUAAUCUUUUUGUGAGAUGCCUGAAACAUUCACAUGGUAAAGUGAAAAAAAAGUGCUCCUUAUUUACCCGGUCAACCCGUUUGAUAAUUAUAAUCCUUUACGCAGGUGUGAAAUGUUAAGUUAAGGUCUUCUUUAUCUGUUUAUAUCGAUUUUUAUCAUCAUUAUUGAAAUACAGCAGACAGAAAAAUUUAUUUUUUGUUCUGCGUUGUUGUUUAGCUAUGGACAAUAAAGGUCAUGUCCUGGUCUUGACAUCCUCGACAUUAGGUGAACCCGAUCAGGCACAAAGAAUGCUAGCCUGGAAUGAACCUUGACGUCCUGCAUAAAUAAAUCUGCAUAUUCACGGCAUAUCUUAUUCUUUAAAUAACAGUUAAACCGUAACUAAUUUCAUUUUUGAACGCUCAUUAAUUUAAAUGAUUGCUGGUCCUACAUGCUUGUGGAAUUAAUAUGCAUGUGGGUUGUUCAAGUACUAUAAGAUCAGACGAAUACGACCAUCUUUAGUCAUGUUUUAAACCAUGUCAAAUAUGACAGCUGUCCAAACGUUAAAACUAAAUCCAAAAUCGUACAAAAUAUCUAAUUUUCACACUUUCUUAAGACUUCCAGAGUGUCUUAGUUUUUAUGCCAUGCCGCGCUGCCAUGACAGAGGGUGCAUUAAAAAGUACCAUUAUCCGUCUUUAUGUCCGUCAAUACGUUUGUCCGUGUACAUAAAUGUGUGUACGUCCAAAAAUUAGUGUCCGUUCUCUUACCUUAUUUAACCAAAUAGUAUGAAAUGUAUACAUUAUGUUAAUUAACAUCAAAUACAGAUCAUAUUUGAAUACGGGUGGCGUCAUUUUGCCGUUCUCUAGUCCUGGCCGUUUAUAAAUAGAAAAAAAUGAAGACUUUCAGUUUCCGCACUCUCACUUUACCUAUUUUCCUGAACCAAAUGUUAUGAAACUUAUAUACAAUGCCUAUAAGCACAAAACAUGUACUUACCUGGUACAAACAACAUGAUGAUGUUCUCCGUACGCACGAGCAAGGAAAACGAGCAAAAGGAUGCCAUCAGGAAAACAAAAAAAAAAAUAUAAAAAAGUUUAAAAUGCAACUAGAUCCCAAAUAACCGCCCCAUGGUGUAAGGUGUGAGCUGCAACCUCAGUGUUAAAUUAAUAUUUAAAAAAAAAGUAUCAUCGUGGAUGUCAUUACAGUGUACUGGAUUGAAAAGGGAGAAAUGGAGGGUAUAAAAGUUAUAAAAAAAACCUCCAAGGUCAAUGUCACAAUUGUUUUCGAAGAUUGAUGUUUUUCUUUUCUUGUCCUGGAUUUUAAGUGAUUAUAAGAUAAAUAGUGUACAUUGCGAAAAAAAGUUGCUUAGAUUAAUGAGCCAAUCGCUUUUUAACUAUUCAU
Molecule: long non-coding RNA, 1809 nt
Filed under: Mytilus galloprovincialis (Mediterranean mussel)
Lineage: Eukaryota; Metazoa; Mollusca; Bivalvia; Mytilida; Mytilidae
Source: RNAcentral